UGCGUAGGUGGUUCGUUAAGUCUGAUGUGAAAGCCCUGGGCUCAACCUGGGAAUGGCAUUGGAUACUGGCGACCUAGAGUGCGGUAGAGGGGUGUGGAAUUCCCGGUGUAGCAGUGAAAUGCGUAGAUAUCGGGAGGAACAUCUGUGGCGAAGGCGACACCCUGGACCAGCACUGACACUGAGGCACGAAAGCGUGGGGAGCAAACAGGAUUAGAUACCCUGGUAGUCCACGCCCUAAACGAUGCGAACUGGAAGUUGGGUGCAACUUGGCACUCAGUUUCGAAGCUAACGCGUUAAGUUCGCCGCCUGGGAAGUACGGUCGCAAGACUGAA
RNAcentral lists this ribosomal RNA (332 nucleotides) under uncultured Lysobacter sp. RNAcentral's name for it is "bacterial SSU rRNA". It matches the Rfam family "Bacterial small subunit ribosomal RNA", at positions 568 to 898 of the family's 1533-position model. The record is from RNAcentral. Lineage: Bacteria; Pseudomonadati; Pseudomonadota; Gammaproteobacteria; Lysobacterales; Lysobacteraceae.